RNAcentral lists this ribosomal RNA (276 nucleotides) under Mantidactylus catalai. RNAcentral's name for it is "partial 16S ribosomal RNA". The record is from RNAcentral. Lineage: Eukaryota; Metazoa; Chordata; Amphibia; Anura; Mantellidae.
CUCUUAUAAGACGAGAAGACCCCAUGGAGCUUUAAACCCAAUUAUAUCUCUAACCACUAUAACCAUUUAACCGCUUAGAACUUAUAUACUUGGUUUUAGGUUGGGGCGACCACGGAGCACAGCCAAACCUCCACGAUGAACGGAACAACCCCCUUAUCUGAGAAUUACGCUUCUAAGAAUUAGCACACUAACAUAAAAUGACCCAUUAUUGAUCAACGAACCAAGUUACCCUGGGGAUAACAGCGCAAUCCAUUUUAAGAGCCCCUAUCGACAAAU